UUAAGUGACGAAGCGUAUACGGUGGAUGCCUUGGCAGUUAGAGGCGAUGAAGGACGUGUAAGUCUGCGAAAAGCUGUGGUGAGCCGACAAAAUGCAUUUGAGCCACAGAUGUCCGAAUGGGGAAACCCACCUAUUUAUAGGUAUCGUUAACUGAAUACAUAGGUUAACGAGGCAAACGAGGGGAACUGAAACAUCUAAGUACCCUUAGGAAAAGAAAUCAACCGAGAUUCCCCUAGUAGCGGCGAGCGAACGGGGAGCAGCCCUUAAGCUGUUUAGAAUUUAGUGGAAUCCUUUGGGAAGAGGAGCGAUACAAGGUGAUAGCCCUGUACACGACGGAUUCUUUACAGUGAAAUCGAGUAGGUCGGGACACGUGUUAUCUUGACUGAAUAUGGGGGGACCAUCCUCCAAGGCUAAAUACUCCUAACUGACCGAUAGUGAACCAGUACCGUGAGGGAAAGGCGAAAAGAACCCCUGUGAGGGGAGUGAAAUAGAACCUGAAACCGUAUACGUACAAGCAGUGGGAGCCCUUCGGGGUGACUGCGUACCUUUUGUAUAAUGGGUCAGCGACUUAUAUUUAGUAGCAAGGUUAAGUGAAUAACGGAGCCGUAGCGAAAGCGAGUGUUAACUGCGCGUUUAGUUGCUAGGUAUAGACCCGAAACCCGGUGAUCUAGCCAUGGGCAGGUUGAAGGUUGAGUAACAUCAACUGGAGGACCGAACCCACUAACGUUGAAAAGUUAGGGGAUGACCUGUGGCUGGGGGUGAAAGGCCAAUCAAACCGGGAGAUAGCUGGUUCUCCCCGAAAUCUAUUUAGGUAGAGCCUCGGACGAAUUCCAUUGGGGGUAGAGCACUGUUAAGGCUAGGGGGUCAUCCCGACUUACCAACCCUUUGCAAACUCCGAAUACCAAUGAGAACUAUCCGGGAGACACACGGCGGGUGCUAACGUCCGUCGUGGAGAGGGAAACAACCCAGACCGCCAGCUAAGGUCCCAAAAUAUUGCUAAGUGGGAAACGAUGUGGGAAGGCAUAGACAGCUAGGAGGUUGGCUUAGAAGCAGCCACCCUUUAAAGAAAGCGUAAUAGCUCACUAGUCGAGUCGGCCUGCGCGGAAGAUGUAACGGGGCUAAGCAAUAUACCGAAGCUGCGGCAGCAUGUUUACAUGCUGGGUAGGGGAGCGUUGUGUAAGUGGAUGAAGGUGAGUUGUAAAGCUUGCUGGACAUAUCACAAGUGCGAAUGCUGACAUGAGUAACGAUAAUGGGAGUGAAAAACUCCCACGCCGGAAGACCAAGGUUUCCUGUCCCAUGCUAAUCAGGGCAGGGUAAGUCGGCCCCUAAGGCGAGGCAGAAAUGCGUAGUCGAUGGGAAACGGGUUAAUAUUCCCGUACUUAUAUAAUCAGUGAUGGAGGGACGGAGAAGGCUAGGCAAGCUUGGCGUUGGUUGUCCAAGUGAAAGUGAGUAGGCUGAAGACUUAGGUAAAUCCGGGUUUUCAAGGCCGAGACACGAGACGAGCUCCCAAGGGAGUGAAGUUGUUGAUGCCCUGCUUCCAGGAAAAGCUUCUAAACUUAUGAUUAUAUGAACCGUACCCCAAACCGACACAGGUGGUCAGGUAGAGAAUACUAAGGCGCUUGAGAGAACUCGGGUGAAGGAACUCGGCAAAAUUGUACCGUAACUUCGGGAGAAGGUACGCCUCUGUUUGUGAACACUUCGCGUGGUAAGCAAAUGGAGGCCGCAGUGACCAGGUGGCUGGGACUGUUUAUUAAAAACACAGCACUCUGCAAACUCGUAAGAGGACGUAUAGGGUGUGACACCUGCCCGGUGCCGGAAGGUUAAUUGAUGGGGUUAGUUUUCGGACGAAGCUCUUGAUCGAAGCCCCGGUAAACGGCGGCCGUAACUAUAACGGUCCUAAGGUAGCGAAAUUCCUUGUCGGGUAAGUUCCGACCUG
This 1936-nucleotide ribosomal RNA is filed under the name hydrothermal vent metagenome. RNAcentral's name for it is "bacterial LSU rRNA". It matches the Rfam family "Bacterial large subunit ribosomal RNA", at positions 1 to 1990 of the family's 2925-position model. The record is from RNAcentral.